AUCCACUCUCGAUCAUUCAAUUGUGUUUUUACUCAUGUUAUCAGAAGAGACGUUAUCGUUCCAACUCCUUUUGUUUUUCACGUUAUAUAAACCCCUUCACCACCAAAUCUCCGAAGACGAAUCUCAAUGAUAUCUCGGCAUAAUCGUAGCCACUUUGUUCAGAUUCUAAGUUUGACGUUAAGAUCCGUACAGAACUUCAUCAAAUAUGGUGAACGAACAAAAUUGGUGACAUGGAAUCCCGACACCGCCUGCUUCAGCGCCGUCUUGAUAAUCGCUUGAAACACAUCCGUCUUUCUCUGCAAUGGUAAUGUGUCUGAAAAACUUAACGAACGUGUCUUUCUGAUUAUCAGGUAUGCUCCCUUCUGUCAUGGAAACAACACCUGUAACAAAUGCUCCGUCUCUCUGGAUUGGUUUUGUUAGAUAGAUUGGAAGAUAUACUUUGAUAUGCUAUUCCUAAUUCAAUUUUAGCGUCAGUAGUCUUGGAUAUAUAUUAGUAAUUUUUUCUUAUAAUGCAGUGACUGGUGUGUGUGUUUGUGGGACUAUUUCACCAUGAAAGAUCAUGCUGUUACACCAGAUCCUAAUGAGGAGGAAGAUUAUAUCUUUUAUCGCCUCACGUUGUGAUUUAGAGGUUUGGCUUUUUUCAGAACCACUUUUGUUAUGAAAGUUUGACUUCUCUAGACGGUUUCUUUGUGUUUUAUUUAAGUUAAAACGCAGUGUCAAGCCAUGUAAACGGUGUGUUGAAGGUUUGCUCACAGUUGCAGGGUAAGGUUUGGUGGUUUAACUCUCGAAUCUGAAACUCUGUUGUUUUGUUUGUUUGGUUAUCCAUAAGCUCUAUCUCUUUGGAUGUUUGGUGUAAUCAGUGGCUCGAUAACUGCCUAAAGAAAAAGAAUUACACCACUUUCAUACUUCUAAUGGUUUUCGUGUUCCUCAUGGUUUGUAUUGGCUCUCUCAACUACUUAAAACAAAAACCUAUAGCUCAUUCACGUAACAACAUUGAUUGCCUUUUGUUGCAACAGCUAACUAUAGAAGGUGGAAACAGCCAUUGCAAUAUUUUUCAGAUAUUUUGUGGCAAAGAAAGGGAUGGAAACCAAACUCAAGAGAAGGCUGCAUGUAGUGUUCCAUUGCUCCAAUAUCUGGAUGCUCUUCAAACUUGCUUAUUUCUCAUGAAAUCUAAUGCAAUUUAUCUUGCCUUAUGAAGUUUGUAAUGUUUUGGGUUCUUACAGGUUUUGUUAACGGCCUAAGUUUCAGCAGCCAAGGGGUAGCUUUUUCCUCUUCCGUUUGGUUCUCAUCAGAAAGGUAACUCUUAUACAGUGUCCUAUCCAUAAAGAUUGCAGAAUUACUCUGCUUCAUAUUUUAUUUUUUAACAAGUAGUGUUCAAAUACUUGCAGAUGAUGAGAACAUAUUAGCAACGGGGGAAGGAAAUCAGUUUCAAGAAAGCAAAUAAGGCGAUCACAUACUCUCAAAUAUAGUAUUCAGGUGUCAAUAUAAUUAGAAGAGACUAUCCAAAAAGAUAGAAGGAGAUGGGCGUUCAACUUCUUCCAUACUGAUCAACAAGCAACUAGGUUUACAUAUAAUCAUAAACCCAUCGAACCUGAUCACUUUAAGCUGGUAUCAAGAAUGCUGACCUCUGUGGAAGAAGACAGGCUGUUCUAUUUUAGUCCACGAAUCUAUGGAACUAAACUCAGACAAGGCUCUAAAGUCCUUAACUUAUGGUAUACUGCCCGAGUAAGUAGUGCUUUUGAAUGUGUGGACGCAUCGGAGAUAUUAGCUUCUGGUGGAGAUAUUAGCUUCUAAAAUGGUCAUUUGUGUCAGUUCCGUCUGGUGAAAGCCAAAAAUGACUUUUACCAUAAUGGAUUUCCACAAUUCGGAUUGGUAGAAAAAAUAAAUAAUAGGUUGGCAAAGUAUAUAACUGUAUGAGGAUAACAACUAUAAACUCUCAAUAAAAACUAAUUGUAUUAAUCAACAUAUACUUCAGAAACAAAUUAGUUAAAAAAUAAGAGUUACAAUUCUUAAUGAAUACCAUGGAGCUUUACGAGCAGGUGCCAUUGUGAAAGUUGGUGGUUUCGAAGUUGGACGUUGCACUAAUAUGUACAAGAGAACGGAUAGCCCUUUCAUCUUCCAACCAAAUCCCAAAGUUUUUGGAGGUAAUCUCUAUCUGAACUCCACCCCGGCGACCAAAUUUUAUUUGGACACCAACAUCCUUGCCAUCGAAGCUUUCACCAAUAGGCUUUCCCACGUACAUGUUUCAAUAGCAGGCCUCCACACGUACAUAGCCACGUCAAACAACCAGGUUUCCAAAACUCUAUUUUCUAUCAUUUCUUAACUUUAAAAAUAAAACUUGUCCCACCUACUUUUUCUCCAUUGUCUCCGUAAAGACCCAGAAAGCUAACUUCCUUUUUAAAGCUUGGAAGUAUGCUACAACAGAAUGGUUGGUCGUACGUUUCUUGCACCGGUUGCAGCAGGAAGUUGGACAAAUCAUGGACUCAACUAUACCGCAACAAAUGUGUAUCACCCAAGAUCGCCUGGGUUUUAAGGUUAAUGGCAGUGGAGGGUAUGAGCUUUCAAGCUGCCUUGCGGAUCUUGAUGGGCAGCAGUACCUUUUCCAAAUUCGGAUAACGCUCUAUAAUUUCACUCCCAGACACCGGACCUUCACAGUGUCUGCAAUCAGUGAUGAUAUUUGUUCCUCAAACUCAGUCAGAGGGGGAAAGCAGCAGCAACCCUCCUCAGCUGGAUCUCCAAUCUAAGGAACCACACGCUUCUGCACGCAUUCCGGUGAUGAGACUCCAAACAUAAUGGAAGUUGAUCCCCACCAAUACCACUUAAUUUUGGAGCCGAAGAGACGAGCCGCAAACGCCCACGUGUGUUAUCCUAGCAAGUUCAGCAAACGUUUGUUCCCACUUAGAUUUGCUUCCCUAUUCUACAAACUCUGGAAUAAGCUACAGCUACUACUCUUUUCCUAUGUUUUAAGUUUUUUUUUUUUUUUUUUUUUUUAGUUACCUUCAAUCAAGCUUCCAGUGGGAGUGUAGUAAUUUGGCAACAUUAAUAAAGGGAACCUUGAUGGGUAUUUGUAAUUUGUCACAACAAAUGUCUGGUUUGUUCAUGCUUAAAUACACAUUACAUCCACAUCACAAAAGGAAUAAGCUACAACGUUUGCUGGCCUAAGGCUCAAUUCUGUCUUUUAAAUAACAUUGUCAUGUUAAAUCACACCGCUGAGUUCUAAAUAAAUAGAAAAUCUGAUUAGUAAAAUAGCAAAUUUAACGGAGAAAAACAAAAUGUGGAUAACUUUUUUAAAGAAGAAAAAUCUCAUGAGUAACUAGGCGAGCAAGAUAACCAGAGCGGGACAAACUAAUAAACCUAUAACUGAGAAGUAAAUAGUUUUUAAGUGUUUUUAAACCAAAGUUCCUCUUCUUAAAUUAGUUUAACAAGAAAAUGAGUGUAAAUGAAGAUCGUACAACUCCUUCACAGCAUAUGAAAAUAUGGUAUGAUGUUAUCUACGUCGGUUGCAAAUACAACAACUUCAAAACUUCUCUCAUACAGUUCCCACACUCUACACUGCUAACACUGCUAAGAUGUAACAGAAUAGCGAGUGCUAGUCGUGUGUCCUAAAGAGGUGUCUUCUUGAUUAAUCAUUAGGAAUCAA
RNA transcript from Brassica napus (rape), 3640 nucleotides. RefSeq lists it as uncharacterized. Lineage: Eukaryota; Viridiplantae; Streptophyta; Magnoliopsida; Brassicales; Brassicaceae. The record is from RefSeq and is a predicted model, not a curated record. The transcript has 5 exons.